This is a non-coding RNA of Paramisgurnus dabryanus, 341 nucleotides long. NCBI's taxonomy places the organism in Eukaryota, Metazoa, Chordata, Actinopteri, Cypriniformes, Cobitidae. The record is from RefSeq and is a predicted model, not a curated record.
GAGAUUUGGCUGGAGUUUGAGCAGCAGCAGAAUGGCGGCCAUGUGAUGCAGCUCCCAAUUAGCUAGAUGACAUGAUGGACAUAACUUCAAGGCGCCGCAGACUUAAGCCUCUUCGAGAUGCAGAAUACCACAUCAACUCGAGAACUGACAAGCCAUACCUUCAGCAGCAGUAUAUUAACAGAUUUAAAGGACGUGGAGUGUUCACUAAAGAAUUUAUUUGGAAAGGGGAUUUUGUGGUAGAAUAUAAUGGGAAGCUGCUUACACAGGAACAGGGAGAUCUGAAAGGAAAACAGUGUGCAGAAUCCAGAGUCUUUCUUUUUGAUUUCGAGUGGAGAGGACAA